This 639-nucleotide ribosomal RNA is filed under the name Ascaridiidae sp. 1 NDD-2008. Its description in RNAcentral is "eukaryotic LSU rRNA". The stretch from base 1 to 89 matches the Rfam family "5.8S ribosomal RNA", at positions 64 to 154 of the family's 154-position model. Lineage: Eukaryota; Metazoa; Nematoda; Chromadorea; Rhabditida; Ascaridiidae. The record is from RNAcentral.
AGUGCGAAUUGCAGACGCAUUGAGCACUAAGAUUUUGAACGCACAUUGCGGCGCUAGGUAUUCCUAGCGCCACGUUUGGUUGAAGGUCGGUUCUUUGAUACGUUGAUCAGCUAACGUCAGAGCUGGUCAGAUGUGGUCGCUUGGUCUGUUUGUGUAGAGUGUAGACGUACAAUUGUACGAGUAGGGAGGGUGACUCUGUCGGCUUAGUCUCCGUCGUGUCGUAGUAUAUGCUAUCUACGACGUGACUUUGAAAGCAGACGUUGUAAUGUCGACAGGUCUCGUACUCCCCCCGCUACCUUGUCUAGCGAGUGUGAUGGAUGCUCGACCACCCACUCCCGGUGACUAUGCAACUCACGUUUGUUAGUUUGUUAGCGAUCGUCAAUAUCUCGCAGUCUUUGUUGUUACUCGUGAAGUCUUUGCUCACGCUCACAUUUUGUGGGCGAUUUAUUACCCGUUUGUCAAACAACGGUGCUUAAUGAAACGUUUCUUAAACUGAUUCAAGCGUAGUCUGUAGCCGCCGCUCAUUUGUUAGAAACAGAGUGUGAGCUGGGAGUGAUGCAAUGCAUACAACGGCACGUCACGUGCUUAAUUUCUUUUUCUACUUCAUCUCAUGCGUGACUACCCCCUAAAUUUAAGCAU